This 417-nucleotide unclassified non-coding RNA is filed under the name Hevea brasiliensis (rubber tree). The record is from RNAcentral. Lineage: Eukaryota; Viridiplantae; Streptophyta; Magnoliopsida; Malpighiales; Euphorbiaceae.
GGAAGGUCUGAAUCUUGAUCCGUGGCAAUGGCCGCCGUGAGCCGAGCUUCCACUCGCAUCCCUCAUCUGCUUGCUGCACGGGGAGCUUUUUCUCUUCACACCACAGCUCCGGCUUUGUCUUCUUCAUCGACUGCCUCUCCGACGCCGUAUGCCAGGCCGCUGCCUCCUUUGGCCUCAUCCCCGACGGGGCUUCCGAAGGCGGCUGAGUAUGUGAUCUCGAAGGUUGACGACCUCAUGAACUGGGCUCGCCGUGGCUCUAUCUGGCCCAUGACCUUCGGCCUUGCUUGUUGCGCCGUUGAAAUGAUGCACACCGGUGCUGCUCGCUAUGACCUCGAUCGCUUCGGUGUCAUCUUCCGUCCCAGCCCUAGGCAAUCUGAUUGUAUGAUUGUCGCCGGUACCCUCACCAACAAGAUGGCC